GCGAAUGAGAUGUCAAGUCUUUCGUAUUGUGUUGAGUACAUUGAAUGCGUCUAAUUGUACUUAGAUGGGAACUCCAUCUGUUAACACAUAUUUGUCAUCUUGCUUUAGACAAAACAACGGAUCUCUCUUUAGAGCAAAGACCUUGACUAAUCAUGGGAGUAUAUGUAGGCCUCACUAGUUAUAGAGCGCCUAAGCCAAUUGAUGGAAAAUCAUCAUCAAUACAGUCAUCGAGUGCCUUAUCGAGACCAUGUCGUCCCAAGAUCUUUUUCUUCGGAUGUUGAUACAUAUUGGCAUCUCUUGAUCCAUCAAGAGUCCAUGUAAAUCCGGAAUGAACACGCAAAGGCAUAAUUCACCAUAUCCCUUCCAAAUCAAGUAGAGUCCAUGUGCGUUUCAAUACAUUUAGCAAACGCAUGCUCCUAUGCUCAGAUGAAUGAAGUCUGUUUAAGACCUUCAUGUAUGUCUCUGAUCCCAUAGAGAUGUUAUUAUGACCACAUUCAUAGGCUGCAUGUUCAGUUAUUCGGAAACUACCAAACUGACAAAGUAGUGGAGUUCAAUGACAUCAAUUACGAGAGCAUAUCUCAUCGUAGUUGAUCCCAGUGCGUGUUAGUGAGAGACCUUGCACCAUAAGGUGAGUCUAAGCUCUUGUUCUCACUACGCUAUCUAACAAAGGUAUAGUUGAUAGGGUUUAGCUUGCGGUGUCGGCAUCACCUGCCCAAGGACCUAUCUCUUUGUUAAUGCUGGAUCGCAUCUUUCCAUUAGGCCAAUCAACUAAGUUGAUAUCCAUCAACGAAGGGUGGUUCGAUAGUAGACUCAUUAUCCCACAUCCUCAUAUACACUAGUGUAAUACUUGUAGAGAUCUCUAUAUGGAUUGGAUUUGACAUUGAGGCGUCCCCCAACGAUAAUCACAAUUCAGACUUCAUGAGACGAAUUUGAGUAUCACUGAUCAAUGGAUCAGGUCGUGCCAAGCUCGCUUUCUUUCUAGUGCGAGACAAUAUCGAACCUAAGGGCCUCCCUCCUUUUAGGGAGCAACACGGCCUUGUGACACCAAUUUUGCCACUAUAUGGCGUCACCAUAUCACCAUCCAUGGUGAUGGCGUCAAGACCAACACUUUUUGGUCGCGCCAUGUCCUUUUGUAGGACAUCAAUCCUUGCAGACAUAUUUGCAGCAUGUGAUCUCGUCACUUUAACACUACAAGCAUUUGGGAUCAAGAUGAGACUUAGUGGGGACAAACCACGACAAUUCACGUCGUUCCACUUGAACACUUGUGUUCUUAUCUCCCCCUAACGGCGGGAAUAUUGUCUCAUCAAAGUGACAAUCCGCAAUUUAGCGGUGAAUUACAUCGCCCGACAAGGUUCCUACAUAUGCGGAUUAUAGGUGGAGGUUCAUAUCCAACCUAAACUUAUUCAUCUCAAAUGACCCAUCAUUGUACGUAGUGGCAAUGCGAUUUGGCACCUAAAAAUAACAUCUAGCCGAGCUCAAGGAUUGGAGAUCCGUUUCAAUCCUGCCGAGCUCAAGGAUUGCAAUUUCGUGUCAAUCCUGGUACACAGUCAUGAGCUGUAGUACAACAAAAUUUAAUGAUGGUGAGUCGUAGAUGAAUAGUAAAGCUGCAUGCAAAUAUUGCAUAGCCCCAAGACACAAUAGAAAGAGUGGUGCGCAUCAAUAAUGUUCGAGCGACAGGCUAAAGUUGUUUGGUCGUAGCCUCGGUGAGACCGUAUUGCGUGUGAACAUGGGGUACAGGACACUUCAACUUACAUCCCGAUAAACUUCUUUAAAGAAUGGGUAGUGAGCCCGUAGAAGUAUAAGCAGCAUCAACAGUAAAUAAUAGUGUAACACGUGACCAGUGUUAACACUUCAACCAACACCAUAAAGCAUAAAAAGGUGUCCGCAAGUUGGUUGUAUCUAUCUACAUAGUUUGAUGUAAGAAUAGAAUGUUCACUUUUGUGUUAUUUAGCGUAGGAGGGUCUCACUCCUUAUUUAGCUAAAGAAUAGGCUUUCAAAAUGAGCAAUGAGCAUUGCAGGGGGCCAAUGCGACAUCGAUGAAAGACUGGUGCACCUCAAUUGCUUGAGGAAUUGACCGGACGACCUCCAGGAAGUUGGAGUCGUAUUUGGGUGACGUCAAUGUCCCCCGGGUCACCACCAUGCUUCAUGGUGAUGCUAGAUCUCGAAUGUCUUCGUUUUGAGCGGAAGAAUGGAUGUCCAUGAGAAUUUCUCAAAAUUUGGACCAUUAUAUCUCUUCCAGGUUGACCAAUUUGAUCAAACCAAAGCCUAUAUGAGUCGGUGUCCCAAAUAUCAUGUUUGGCGACAAUAUGGGAUUCGAUAUUCGAAUCGUAGUGACAUACAGUUCACUAGAUUGACUCAUGAAUUUCUCCAAGAUGCGCUUCAGUUCGCAUUCAUGAGGAGGUAUACACAAAAGAAUUCUUAAUCAUUCUCACAAUGUGUUUCAAUGAAACCAAUUAGCAUGAAUGUCUUUAAAGACUCAACAUGGUUCCUUAGAAUGUUGUGGAUAGUUCCACUAUCUUACGAAGUAACUCAAUGUCUCUAUGAGACAUAACUACAAGGAGUAGAUAGGCGAGUAAAAUAAGUUCUACUUUAAAACCAAUUUUAGAAGGAUUGAAAGAAGCUACGAAAAGCUGCAAUCCCGAGAGUGCAUAAAAAGUUUCCGCGCAGAAUGACCUUUGCGCACUAAAACAGCCAUAACUUCUUCGUUAAAAUAGAUAUGGAUGAACCGUGAAAAGUUCUGAAAACUAGACUCAUAGAGCUUUCCAAUGAUAUAAAGCUCAUUGUCUGGUUCGUCCGGAGCUGUUCACAAAGCUCAAACGAAGUUGACUGUUCAGAAGGGACAGAUUGCUGUUUUUCGCAGAUUUGGCAUGUGCGAAGCUGUGAAGCUUGCAGGUGGCGUGUAGACUUUUGCCUUAGCCAAAAGUGACGUGUGUAUNNNNN
Molecule: long non-coding RNA, 2940 nt
Filed under: Fragaria vesca (wild strawberry)
Lineage: Eukaryota; Viridiplantae; Streptophyta; Magnoliopsida; Rosales; Rosaceae
Description: long non-coding RNA (FVES_LNC001300)
Source: RNAcentral